AACGAACGCUGGCGGCAUGCCUAACACAUGCAAGUCGAACGAGACCUUCGGGUCUAGUGGCGCACGGGUGCGUAACGCGUGGGAACCUGCCCUUAGGUUCGGCAUAACUCCCCGAAAGGGGUGCUAAUACCGGAUAAUGUCUUCGGACCAAAGAUUUAGUGCCUUUGGAUGGGCUCGCGUUGGAUUAGCUAGUUGGUAGGGUAAAAGCCUACCAAGGCGACGAGCCAUAGCUGGUCUGAGAGGAUGAUCAGCCACACUGGGACUGAGAAACGGCCCAGACUCUUACGGGAGGCAGCAGUGGGGAAUAUUGGACAAUGGGCGGAAGCCUGAUCCAGCAAUGCCGCGUGAGUGAUGAAGGCCUUAGGGUUGUAAAGCUCUUUUACCCGGGAUGAUAAUGACAGUACCGGGAGAAUAAGCUCCGGCUAACUCCGUG
This 433-nucleotide ribosomal RNA is filed under the name uncultured bacterium. RNAcentral's name for it is "partial 16S ribosomal RNA". It matches the Rfam family "Bacterial small subunit ribosomal RNA", at positions 29 to 507 of the family's 1533-position model. The record is from RNAcentral.